CGGGGUAACGGCCCACCAAGGCAUCGAUGGAUAGGGGUUCUGAGAGGAAGGUCCCCCACAUUGGAACUGAGACACGGUCCAAACUCCUACGGGAGGCAGCAGUGAGGAAUAUUGGUCAAUGGGCGCUAGCCUGAACCAGCCAAGUAGCGUGAAGGAUGACUGCCCUAUGGGUUGUAAACUUCUUUUAUAUGGGAAUAAAGUGCAGUAUGUAUACUGCUUUGCAUGUACCUUAUGAAUAAGGAUCGGCUAACUCCGUGCCAGCAGCCGCGGUAAUACGGAGGAUCCGAGCGUUAUCCGGAUUUAUUGGGUUUAAAGGGAGCGUAGGCGGGUUGUUAAGUCAGUUGUGAAAGUUUGCGGCUCAACCGUAAAAUUGCAGUUGAUACUGGCAUCCUUGAGUACAGUAGAGGUAGGCGGAAUUCGUGGUGUAGCGGUGAAAUGCUUAGAUAUCACGAAGAACUCCGAUUGCGAAGGCAGCCUGCUGGACUGUAACUGACGCUGAUGCUCGAAAGUGUGGGUAUCAAACAGGAUUAGAUACCCUGGUAGUCCACACAGUAAACGAUGAAUACUCGCUGUUUGCGAUAUACAGUAAGCGGC
This 594-nucleotide ribosomal RNA is filed under the name uncultured bacterium. RNAcentral describes it as "bacterial SSU rRNA". It matches the Rfam family "Bacterial small subunit ribosomal RNA", at positions 253 to 847 of the family's 1533-position model. The record is from RNAcentral.